CCUACGGGCUGCACCAGUGGGGAAUAUUGCACAAUGGGCGCAAGCCCGAUGCAGCCAUGCCGCGUGUAUGAAGAAGGCCUUCGGGUUGUAAAGUACUUUCAGCGGGGAGGAAGGUGUUGAGGUUAAUAACCUCAGCAAUUGACGUUACCCGCAGAAGAAGCACCGGCUAACUCCGUGCCAGCAGCCGCGGUAAUACGGAGGGUGCAAGCGUUAAUCGGAAUUACUGGGCGUAAAGCGCACGCAGGCGGUCUGUCAAGUAGGAUGUGAAAUCCCCGGGCUCAACCUGGGAACUGCAUUCGAAACUGGCAGGCUAGAGUCUUGUAGAGGGGGGCAGAAUUCCAGGUGUAGCGGUGAAAUGCGUAGAGAUCUGGAGGAAUACCGGUGGCGAAGGCGGCCCCCUGGACAAAGACUGACGCUCAGGUGUGAAAGCGUGGGGAGCAAACAGGAUUAGAUACCCUCGUAGUC
Molecule: ribosomal RNA, 465 nt
Filed under: uncultured bacterium
Lineage: Bacteria
Description: bacterial SSU rRNA
Rfam family: Bacterial small subunit ribosomal RNA
Source: RNAcentral